RNAcentral lists this unclassified non-coding RNA (269 nucleotides) under Hevea brasiliensis (rubber tree). The record is from RNAcentral. Lineage: Eukaryota; Viridiplantae; Streptophyta; Magnoliopsida; Malpighiales; Euphorbiaceae.
AUUUUACAUAUUCACUAAAAAUUUUUCAUUUGGGAAUUUCAUAUUCUAAAUAGAGGUUAAGAUAAAAAUCUAACAAACCAUCUAUCAAUAAAUGAUUGCUCUUUGGAGAUAAAAAAUGCAAAAUACACAGUACUUCAAAGAAUGGACUACAAAUUAGAACUUGAAUAAGAUUACCUGAAUGAUCAGAUGUUGUCGCCUAAUCUUGCUUAUCUUUCCAUUUCGCCCUAACUGAAUAAAAGAAAUUAGGAAUUACAAGGGGAAAAAAAAAA